RNAcentral lists this ribosomal RNA (875 nucleotides) under uncultured Alphaproteobacteria bacterium. RNAcentral describes it as "bacterial SSU rRNA". It matches the Rfam family "Bacterial small subunit ribosomal RNA", at positions 26 to 916 of the family's 1533-position model. Lineage: Bacteria; Pseudomonadati; Pseudomonadota; Alphaproteobacteria. The record is from RNAcentral.
AGGACGAACGCUGGCGGCGUGCUUAACACAUGCAAGUCGAGCGAUGAAGCACCUUCGGGUGUGAAUUAGCGGCGAACGGGUGAGGAACACGUGAAGAAUCUGCCUUCAACUCUGGGAUAACUCCGGGAAACCGGGGCUAAUACCGGAUAUGAGCCUUGAUCGCAUGAUCGGGGCUGGAAAGUUUUUCGGUUGAAGAUGACUUCGCGGCCUAUCAGCUUGUUGGUGAGGUAAUGGCUCACCAAGGCGACGACGGGUAGCCGGCCUGAGAGGGCGACCGGCCACACUGGGACUGAGACACGGCCCAGACUCCUACGGGAGGCAGCAGUGGGGAAUAUUGGGCAAUGGAGGAAACUCUGACCCAGCGACGCCGCGUGAGGGAUGAAGGCCUUCGGGUUGUAAACCUCUUUCAGUAGGGAAGAAGCGAAAGUGACGGUACCUACAGAAGAAGCACCGGCUAACUAUGUGCCAGCAGCCGCGGUAAUACAUAGGGUGCAAGCGUUGUCCGGAAUUAUUGGGCGUAAAGAGCUCGUAGGUGGUUCGAUACGUCGGAUGUGAAAAUCAGGGGCUCAACCCCUGACCUGCAUCCGAUACGGUCGAGCUAGAGUUUGGUAGGGGAGACUGGAAUUCCUGGUGUAGCGGUGGAAUGCGCAGAUAUCAGGAGGAACACCGAUGGCGAAGGCAGGUCUCUGGGCCAAUACUGACACUGAGGAGCGAAAGCGUGGGGAGCGAACAGGAUUAGAUACCCUGGUAGUCCACGCCGUAAACGGUGGGCGCUAGUUGUGCGAACCUUCCACGGUUUGUGCGACGCAGCUAACGCAUUAAGCGCCCCGCCUGGGGAGUACGAUCGCAAGAUUAAAACUUAAAUGAAUUGACGG